CCUACGGGAGGCAGCAGUGGGGAAUAUUGCACAAUGGGGGAAACCCUGAUGCAGCGAAGCCGCGUGAGUGAAGAAGUAUUUCGGUAUGUAAAGCUCUAUCAGCAGGGAAGAAAAUGACGGUACCUGAUUAAGAAGCCCCGGCUAACUACGUGCCAGCAGCCGCGGUACUACGUAGGGGGCAAGCGUUAUCCGGAUUUACUGGGUGUAAAGGGAGCGUAGACGGCAGCACAAGUCUGGAGUGAAAUGCCGGGGCUUAACCCCGGAACUGCUUUUGAAACUGUGCAGCUAGAGUGCAGGAGAGGUAAGUGGAAUUCCUAGUGUAGCGGUGAAAUGCGUAGAUAUUAGGAGGAACACCAGUGGCGAAGGCGGCUUACUGGACUGUAACUGACGUUGAGGCUCGAAAGCGUGGGGAGCAAACAGGAUUAGAUACCCGUGUAGUC
This 440-nucleotide ribosomal RNA is filed under the name uncultured bacterium. RNAcentral's name for it is "partial 16S ribosomal RNA". It matches the Rfam family "Bacterial small subunit ribosomal RNA", at positions 338 to 795 of the family's 1533-position model. The record is from RNAcentral.